Ictidomys tridecemlineatus (thirteen-lined ground squirrel) is the source of this 7170-nucleotide non-coding RNA. NCBI's taxonomy places the organism in Eukaryota, Metazoa, Chordata, Mammalia, Rodentia, Sciuridae. The record is from RefSeq and is a predicted model, not a curated record.
AGGCGAGGGAAGCUAGCGGCUGGCGAACCGAAGAGAGGCUGGGUGCUUGGGCAAGUGAGGAACCUUGAUCCUUGCGGGCCACCAUCCCGGAAGUGGAAAUUAGAGGAAGAAAAUACUGGGUUUGCUGGGGAUAAGUUUCUCAAGAUUCUAGGUGCGGAUUUUUAGAACUUUUUGUGGUAUGUUUUGACCAGGAUAGAAUCAGAGGUUUUUUUCGCCUCCCUUGAAAGAGCCAGCAUCUCUAGUGAGUUCGUGUGUGGCGCAGCGCGAAUCUCGGGACUUCAGUUAAGAAUCCCGCGGAGAAAGCCGGUCUGCGCUGUUACUUGGUGGUGACUUUGGUAAGGAGCUGAGCUUAUGCUUUAGUGGCUUACUAUGGCCCAGCGAGCAGUGUGGCUUAUACGCCACGAACCAGGAACUCCACUUCGUGGCACCGUGAGAUUCUCCAGACGUUAUCCAACCGUUGAAAAGAGAGCCAAAGUAUUCAAUGGAGCAAGUUAUGUGCCUAUUCCUGAAGAUGGUCCCUUUCUUAAAGCACUCCUUUUUGAACUUAGAUUAUUGGAUGAUGAUAAGGACUUCGUAGAGCGUCGUGAUAGCUGUACACACAUCAAUAAAACAACCAUAUAUAGACUUUCAGUAGGAGGUGAAGAACUCUGGCCAGUGGUUGCUUUUCUGAAGAAUGGCAUGAUAUAUGCUAGUGUUCCACUUGUUGAACAAACUCUCUCCCCUCGUCCACCAUUAAUUAGCAUCAGUGGAAUUUCACAAGGCUUGGAACUUCUUUUUGGUAUACAGGAUUUUCUUUAUUCUAGUCAAAAAAAUGAUACUGAACUAAAUACAAAAUUGAGCCAGUUGCCUAAUUUGCUUCUUCAGGCUUGUCCAUUUGGUACUUUAUUAGAUGCCAACUUACAGAAUUCGUUGGAUAAUAUUAAUUUUGCUUCUGUGUCUCAGCCACAGAAACAGCCAGCUUGGAAAGCUGGAACAUACAAAGGAAAACCACAGGUUUCUGUUUCUAUUACUGAAAAGGUAAAAUCCAUGCAAUAUGAUAAACAGGAUAUAGCAGAUACAUGGCAAGUUGUUGGAGCAGUCAUUUGCAAGUGUGAUUUAGAAGGAAUCAUGCCAAAUGUCACCAUCAGCUUGAACCUCCCCACCAAUGGAUCUCCACUUCAAGAUAUUCUAGUUCAUCCUUGUGUGACUUCUCUUGAUUCUGCCAUUCUGACCUCUAGCAGCAUUGAUGCAGUGGAUGAUUCUGCAUUUAGUGGGCCUUAUAAAUUUCCAUUCACUCCACCUUUAGAGUCAUUCAAUUUAUGCUACUAUACUUCCCAGGUUCCUGUACCACCAAUUUUGGGUUUCUAUCAAAUGAAAGAAGAAGAAAUACAACUAAAAAUAAAAGUUAAUUUAAAACUUCAUGAAAGUGUGAAAAAUAAUUUUGAAUUCUGUGAAGCUCAUAUACCUUUUUACAAUAGAGGUCCAAUUACACAAUUAGAAUACAAAGUUAGUUUUGGCCAGCUUGAAGUAUUUCGAGAGAAAAGCUUACUGAUCUGGAUUAUUGGCCAGAAGUUCCCCAAAUCAAUGGAAAUUAGUCUUUCUGGGACUAUAACCUUUGGAGCCAAGAGCCAUGACAAACAACCAUUUGACCAGAUUUGUAUUGGAGAUACAGCAUAUGUAAAGCUUCAUUUUAGCAUCUUAGAUUACACACUUACCGGAUGUUAUGCGGAUCAACAUUCAGUUCAAGUUUUUGCAUCAGGAAAACCAAAAAUAAGUUCAUGGUCUCACUAAGUUGUCCAGGCUGCGCUCAAGCUUGGAAUCCUCCUUGCCUCAACCUCUCAAGUAGCUGGGAUUACAGAUGUGCACCACCAUGCCCAGACAUGAGGUCUGUGCUUCAUGAACCUUUUGGGAAAGUUCUCAAAGACUACCACACAUCUUCUUCAAAGCAAUGGAGCAUCCUAUUUAGCCACUGAAGUUGUUGGAGUGCAAUAGGGCAGGAGAAAAACAUUAAAAGCCAGCCUUCAUCUACUGGUUUAGAGCCACUGGACUGUGCUGAAUGUGGUUUGGACCAGCAAGAUCCUCCCCUCAAAAAAGACCCUGAGAUGCCCUUGGGAACUGUUAACCCAAACACAGGAUCUCACUAAGUUGUCCAGGCUGGCCAUAAAUCUGCUUCAACCCCUAGGCUGCUGGGAUCACAGAUGUGGCCCACUGUAUCCAGCAAUCCACUCUUAAUUAUUACAAACCAGAGUACCUGAGGAGAAGCAAGUGAAGCAGGAGGCAUCCUCUGAAGGUCCCACAGACUGCAUCUACCAAAGAGGAACAUAGUUUCUUCCAGUUGUCUUACUGAAAUGUCAUUGUCCAAGGAAGAUGAAACUUACAUCACAGAGGAAGAGACUAAAAAUCAAACACCACAUCUAGAGCCCAAAGGAAUUUUGCCCCAGGCCAGUAUCUGUUUGGGGGGUGCACUUAUUGCCUACUAAAAUUCAUUUAUUCCCCUGCCCAAACUGUCUUCAUCCCCCAUUUUCCUCUGCCCCAAGAAGAUGGUGGUUAAGCCUUAAUCUUCUGGCCCUUCUCUGAAUUUCAUAUUUGUGUGGCUCCCAUGCACUUAGGCAUUGUUAUGGUUUACACAUGAGGUGUCCCCCCAAAAAACUCAUGUGUAAAACAUUGCAAGAAAGUUGACAGGUGAAAUGAUUGGGUUACGAGAGCCUUAACCCAAUCAGUACAACCCUGAUAGGGACCACUUGGGUGGUAACAGCAGGUAGGAUGGAUGUGGCUGGAGGAGGUGGGUCAUUGAGGAUGUGCCAUUGGGGUUGAUAUUUUGUGAGUGUUGAGGGGAGUUCUCUGUCUGCUUCCUUGUUGUCAUGUCCUGAGCUGCUUUCCUCUGUCAUGCCCUUCUACCUUAGUGUUCUGCCUUGCCCAGGGCCCAGAGCAAUGAAGUCAGUUAUCUAUUAACUGAGACCUCCAAAGCUGUGAGCUUCAAAUGAACUUUUCCUCCUCUAAAGUUGUUCUUGUCUGGUCUUUUGGUGAUUGCAGUAUAAAAGGUAACUAAGGUAUGUUAAUAAAUGUGUAUACCUUUUCUGUUAGUCUGCCUACUGUCUGUCAGUUUGAGCUGGCAGACUCAAUCACUGAGCCUUUAGAAGGAAAGCUUGCCCUCAAGAGAGUCAGAUUCUCACACUUCAGUCCUCAGUGAGGCUAUCCUUCUUUUCUCUACCACCUGUUUCCCCAAGUAUUGAAAAAUCCUGUGGAGGAAUUCUGAUUGGCUUGGAUGAUACAUCAACUCCUGUGGCCAAGAGGAUAUAUAGACUCUUCUAGAACCAUUUACUUUGAAGGAUUAUUUCCCAAAAGUUAAAAGACUGCUUAUGAAUAAGAACUCAUACACAUGACCACAUCCUAAAAAUUUCUAACGCUAGAACUCCUUUACCGUUCUUAAAAAAAUUUAGCUCUCUAGUCAUGGCCAUCUCUCCUCUUACAACCGACUCUACCACUCCCACUCUCAUACUUACACUUAACCUAAUCUUUUGCUUCACCCAGGACUCCAGUCUACAAUCUACCCAUUGUUUCAGUAUACCAGCCUCCUCCCAGCUUUGCUUUCUUCUCUGUCCAAUCUGGACCAAAUAAGUAACAUUACCUGGUCUAGUUUUGGGACCACCUAGGAUCACAAGAAAUUCACAGAAGGAACUGACCAGCCUGAGGGUGGGGCCAUGACCAUCCUGACUGGUCUUAGACUCAGACUCAAACAUUCACGUGAUACCUGACUUAUCUUCCCAGGAGACCCUUGAUCAUAUGAUUCUCAGCUGACUUCCACAUAAUUACUUCCGCAUAGUCCCACACCAAAUGUGUUUUAAAGUGGCUCCAAGUUGAGUUUCUGAGCCAAGUCCUCUCCCCUUAGGAAAUCCAGAAGAUGCGAGUGAAGCUCACUAUAGCUUUAAAAUUGCAGUUCUAAUGGUUUAGAGAAAUCUCAGUCCUGGGGCUUGAUGAGUUACUCCAUUUAUUUUUUCAGUAAGUACUUGAGAAAUAUUUGUUAAGCAAAUGAUAUUUUCAAGUUAUGCCUGAAAUCUUUAACAUUUUAUUCUAUAAACUUUUAACAAAACAGACUGAAACCUUUUAAAGCUAUCUGUGGAAAUGUUCAAUCCAACAGAGACCAUUGAAGUACUACAUAGUGUUAAAGAAAAACAAGCUGGCCUCGUUACCCCAAGAGUUAAAGUAGUGACAUCAACAAAUGAUGAACCACAACAGACAUCUGAGGAAAUAAGUCAAGAAUUUGCCUAUACAUAUGUGACUUAAACCUCUACAAUCAGGACCUCCCACAAUUGUGUUUAGAAAGGGAAAACAUAUGUAGUUAAUUAUAUGGUACCAAGACUAGAUAGACUAUAUGAACUGUCUAGGAAAGACAGCAGCCUAUCUGGUUGACAUAUACAUUUAAAUCCUGAUUCUGUUUGUUGAUAACCUGAUUUUCUUUUUGGUAGUUGUUGUUGAACAACAAAAAGAAGAUAUAUUUGUAUAAUAGAUAGAAAUGCACCAUCUUCCUGGCAGUUAAAUUUCUUAAUGCCACAAUUAAUAAAUUUGUAUAAAUUCAGCCAUCUCUGUGGGGUUUAGUUAUAUGAGUUGACAUUUCUAAAUCUUGACUAAGUAGUUAGAUGUAUGUUCCUUAUACUCUAAUAUUUUUCCUAUGAAAGUCACAGAAAAGUAAGUGCCUCCUUCUGAACCCCUUUGGCAGGCUUGCCAUCCCUUUCAGUGAUCUACCUCAAUGUGACCCCUGCUGGGUAACUUCUGUAAUAUUUGAACAGCUACCCCAAUGGAUAAGUGAGCAAAUAAUUAUCGACAAUGCCACACUUAUGUGUGGUUGUUAAUGAUCAAGAUAAUUCCUAUGUAUUGGGUAACUACAAUAUAUCAGGGAUAGCUAGGUAUUUUAAGAGGUGCAACACAAAGUAUGUUUACAGGAUCAUGAAUCUUUUUUUAGCAUCUGCUUUGUUCUUUUAUACAUUUAAAUUUUUUUCUACAGUGAACAUGUGCUUUGUAAUUGUAAAGUUUUUAUUCAUUUUUUAAAUGCACAAAAACAAGCUCAAAAUUUAUUACUAAAUCUUUGGAAUUUUCUUUAAGAUUUUAUUUCAAUAAAAUGUGGGAAUUUUUAUGGAGAUGAUACAGAAUUUAGAUGAAGUACAAUUAGACUGUUCUUUUGAUUUACCAAAGACUUAAUUUGCCAUUCUAUGUGCACAUAUUUGGUCCUUCAUUCAAAACAGACUCAUAAAGCACUAUCAGCCCAAUUUUGCUUCAUUACCAUAGCAACAUAAUAGUGACAAAGGCACACAGCUCCUUCCCUCCUUCUCCCACACAUGCCUGCUACCGUUUUACUUGUCAUUCAUCGCCAUCUUCCUGCAUCCAUUUUUUUUCAUCCUUUAGAAAGGAUGUUUUCCUCUUCUCCCGAAAACUGCUUUCCUCUUCCCCAAAAAAUUUCAUAUGUAGCAAAACAAAGCUACAUAUGUGAAUAACCAAAACACCCUAAAUUCUAUAUAUCAAUUUAUUUUUUUUCUGUUUUAUACUCUUUAGGAUUCUUCCUAGUUGAUCAUAGGUAAGGAACAGUUAUAGUUUUCCUGGUAAACUCAUCAAUUCAACACUUUUGACUCCGAAAAAUUUCAAUGUUCCAGAUUUAAUUAAUUUCAUUAAUCCAAAUGAGGUAGGAGAGAAUUCAUCCUAGGGGAGCCACUAGCAGUUACUGGGUUUUUGAGAGAGGAGGAGGCUUUGUCUCACUCCCCUUUCCUCAUCUUCUCAAUGUGUACAGAAUAUGUCCAUUAUUGAUUUCAGCAGUUGUGGAGAUGUGGGAUUAUAAUAAGAGCAGCACAGAUCAACAUUUCAAAUUCACUUGAUGAAAUCAAGGAACUGGACACUGCUAUACUCCAUUCAAAGGAGUACAGGUGAGCUUUCUCAACAAAUCUGCUCUGGAACCCUCCUUUUGCUAUACCCUUUCUUUCUUCCUAAGAAUUCUGAUUUCACUUAGGCAUCUGCCUUACUGGGAAGCCAAGACUUUCAGGAGAAGAUAGUCCAACUCCAGAAGGUGAGUUGGAUGGAAGUUACUAUGGCAACACCCUUUAUUUACUAGGGUUGGUCUGGGCAUGGCUGGUAAUACUCUUCUGGCCAAUAAGAAAUAAGAAGAAGUCUGCUGUUGGCUUCGGGGAAAGGUUGUUGAAGAGUACAAGAAUGGGGCCCCCCAACUAGGCAUGCUCCACUUACUUAUUAUACCGCAGUAUAAAGUUUAGCCAGGCACAUAGAAUCCAGAAUAAAUAACACAUUUCUCAGCAUCCUUUGUAGCCCAUUGUUCUGGCCAAUGGAAUAAAAGCAAACACAGAGAGUGGCAUCUCCUGGGAAUGUUCCUCUGUGUAUGUUCUGUCAAGGGCUCUUUGUCUACUCCUUUCUUUAUUCUGCCUUGUGGCAUAUGGGUAUGAUAGCUGGAGGUAGAACAAACAACUCUUUGGACCACAGAUAACCUCAGGAAUGGAGACCAUGCAUGGCAGAACAGAAAAGAAGCCACACUUAAGUCACUACUAUUUUAGGUUUUCUGUCAUUUAUAAUUAAACCUAAUACUAAGUAAUACAAAGAGAAAGAGGACAUAUUUUCAGUCUCUAGAUGUUGCUGCAUCAAGGAGUCAGUCUAGAACUACUGCAGCCUUUGUGCAACCCUGAGGACCAAGGCCAAGCCUAAGGAUGGCAGGUGAGGGUGUGAAGUCAACCAACUGCAACGGUUUUUCUGUGUAUUUUUUAUUAUGUGAUAAAAUAUACUAUGUUAUUGCUAAAGCCACUGAAUUGGUGAUUUCUGUAUCUUGUAGCUGAAAGUAGCUCUUACAGGAUUUAAUGGUUUCUAAACGUUGUAAAAACUCAUGCACCUUCAAAAGAGAUGGAGCUAAUCAAAGAUUUAGAAGAUGCAGCAUUAAACAUGAAGGGUGUGUUACAAACCAUUUAGAAAUUAGAAGACAAAGGGGAAAAACAUAAACCCACAAGUCCACAAUAGCCAUGAUGAUCACUUUGGCCUUAUGGUAUUUUUUUAAAUAUCAUACAUAACUACAUAUAUUUUUCCAUAUACAUAAUCAAUCACACUGUGAGUUUGACUUUUUCUGUCCCACUGAAUAUAAAUAAAAAUGCUGUAAAAAAAAAAAAAAAGAAAGAACUACCUGGUAAUUUAAGAAAAUAAAUUUAAAAA